AGACCUACCUGGCAGGGGAGAUACCAUGAUCACGAAGGUGGUUUUCCCAGGGCGAGGCUCAUCCAUUGCACUCCGGAUGUGCUGACCCCUGCGAUUUCCCCAAAUGUGGGAAACUCGACUGCAUAAUUUGUGGUAGUGGGGGACUGCGUUCGUGCUUUCCCCUG
Small nuclear RNA from Oryctolagus cuniculus (rabbit), 164 nucleotides. Its record names the gene U1. It matches the Rfam family "U1 spliceosomal RNA". Rfam says of the family: U1 is a small nuclear RNA (snRNA) component of the spliceosome (involved in pre-mRNA splicing). NCBI's taxonomy places the organism in Eukaryota, Metazoa, Chordata, Mammalia, Lagomorpha, Leporidae. The record is from Ensembl.